This 498-nucleotide ribosomal RNA is filed under the name uncultured bacterium. Its description in RNAcentral is "partial 16S ribosomal RNA". It matches the Rfam family "Bacterial small subunit ribosomal RNA", at positions 28 to 508 of the family's 1533-position model. The record is from RNAcentral.
GAUGAACGCUGGCGGCGUGCCUAAUACAUGCAAGUCGAGCGAACGGACGAGAAGCUUGCUUCUCUGAUGUUAGCGGCGGACGGGUGAGUAACGCGUGGAUAACCUACCUAUAAGACUGGGAUAACUUCGGGAAACCGGAGCUAAUACCGGAUGAUAUUUUGAACCGCAUGGUUCAAAAGUGAAAGACGGUCUUGCUGUCACUUAUAGAUGGAUCCGCGCUGCAUUAGCUAGUUGGUAAGGUAACGGCUUACCAAGGCAACGAUGCAUAGCCGACCUGAGAGGGUGAUCGGCCACACUGGAACUGAGACACGGUCCAGACUCCUACGGGAGGCAGCAGUAGGGAAUCUUCCGCAAUGGGCGAAAGCCUGACGGAGCAACGCCGCGUGAGUGAUGAAGGUCUUCGGAUCGUAAAACUCUGUUAUUAGGGAAGAACAUAUGUGUAAGUAACUGUGCACAUCUUGACGGUACCUAAUCAGAAAGCCACGGCUAACUACGUGC